AUGCUAAAUGCUAAGAGAAUGAAGAGUUUAGAGUUCAGAACAGAGGGAAUGGAGGUGGAGAAAUAAAAUUUGUGAUAGAACCCCCAACCUGUUUUAGACAUAUUAGAGAGUUAAAGGAAUAGUUAAGACAAAAAGUUAUACAUUUAAAGAGAAAAAGUAAGAAUAUUAUAGACCAAUCAAAACAGUAAAAAAAAACAACUAGAUCUAAUAGAAGACCAGAAGUCAGAUAUCUUAGAUCUAACAUAUUACAUAUGCCAAGAUAAUGGGCUAUAUCUAUUUAGGUAAACAGGUUCUGUCCAUCAAAAAUAUCAGUAAAUGACACUGAAUAUAUGUUGGGCACCAUAGCAUCUUAUUCAAACGUAUGGGAGGCUCUUACAAUACAUAUGCUAUAGAGACCAAAGGCCUGAUUAAUUACAGUCAUCACAUAAUGAAGGGACAUGCCCCCAAAACUUAUUUUCAUAGUGACACAAAGAAUUAUAGGGGCUUAACCCUGUUGGCAGAUAUAUUGGCAUGUCUGUGUUUUUUGUCACAGUGCUCUGGGACACAUGUCUGACCUUAUCUAUGUCAAACACACAGCUCCUUCUGUGCCUUCCACACAACCAGUGCUGCCUUUGUAACACUAACAACCACAACCAUCUCCAUCAGGGAUUAUUGAAUAUUCAAAUGCCCUUAUAUAAUAGCUCCCUGUGUAACCUCACUCCCUCUGUGACAUAUUCAAAGGCAACUCAUUGAGUCCUUCACUGAUGCCAGCACUCUGCUAGUUAUAUCUUGGUAACUUAAAGUACAUUGCUUUUACCUAUGGUCUGAAGUUGAGCGAUCUGUGGAAAGGACCCAGGAGUGCGCUGCUUCUUCUUACAGUGACGGACGCGGGGCGGCAGCACCCAGGUCACAACAGGUACGAGGUAAGAUUUACGGUGUUUCUGUUCUUUUGAAAACGUGAUUGUAGUCCUGUGCGGGGAGUCAGGGGUUAUAUUACCAGCUCCCUUCUUUAAGCGUUUGGUUCGGGGCAUCUGCACCUGGGCCAUUGGAUUCUAACAGUGAGCGGUGCACAGGCUUGAACUAGAAUCUAAUGUUAAUACCUUUAGUAUUGAUUCAUUGAAGUAAAUUCCGGGAAUAGUGCUGGAUAUUCUCCUUAAUUUCGGAUAUACUGUUGCCCCAAUGAAACAAAAACAUUUCCUGGUUAAAUAAAUAAAAUGGCAAACUUUUUCUGCUUAUUACUUUACUUUCUUUCUUUUUUUGCAAUAUAUACUUUCUCUGCCUGGCUUGAAUGACAACAUUUCACAUGCAUGCUUGUGUCUUUACUUUCAAUCCACUGGACAUGGAAUCCCUGCAUGUUCAAGCAAAACUUGGAAGAACUUGUUUGGUACAGUCAUUUACUGUAGUAACCUUUCAAACGUAUUCUUUUAUUGUUUUAACAUAGAUUUUAGUUUCUAUAGUACACAGAUUUCUCCUUCACCAUGCCAACCAAAAUGUAACAUCAAAACAUCACAACUGCAUGUUACUGCCCCUUUUGAAGCCAGGCUUUUUUUAACCUUUUAAUUAAUAAUGUCAGGCAACCAGUCUCUUUAUUUACCCAGGAAAUCUCCUCCACCAAAUAAUGCCACCUAGACUCAUGAGAUAAAGAAUCAGAUAAGGUUUAUUCGCGCGGGGAAUGACUCUCACGUACGACACAAGUUGUACAUAAGCAUUCCCAAAACAGUCCUCCAUUGGUUGUCCUUUUAUACCCCUGUAAGGGGGGUCUCAAAAGGCUUCAGUUCUGACCAAUCAGAGGUUAAAGUUCUUGUUUACUUUAGUCCAUGUUCUGUGACUAAUCCUUCAGGCCAUCUGUUCUCUGAUGAUAAUCUUGUCUGGAACAUUUUGGGGAAAUUGAGACAUAUGUGAUGACGAUAAAGAUGAUAACAUCUCAGCAAGUGCAUUACAAGCCAAACAGCUCUCCAAAACCUAAGUUUACAAUCCUUAUGAUGUAAAGAACCAGGCCCAUCAUUAUUCUGUUAAACAUAAUUCAAACUAUACAUUCUUAUACUUAAUUAACCUAAUUCUUAGACACACAUAAAAUUAAGAUGGUAUAACUUAGCCUCACAAUCAUUAAGCAAAAAAGGAAAUCCUUAAUUUAUGGUCAGAACAAUACAUGCAAGCCAGAGGAAUAACAAUACAAUACAUUUGUACAAUACCUGAGUAACAUGAUCUUUAAAAUAUAUAUGUGUUGUGCUUAAAUGCAAUAUUUUAUUCUAUGGUUUUAACAUGUACAAAGCAAUACAUAUUUCUCAGAUAUCAGAGCCCCUUUCUGUACCUCUAUUCAGUGUACAAGAUAGGAACAUGCUAGUCAGUAGAGCAGUCAUUGUUUGGUCACCAGAGAUGCAAAUAAUCAUUAGUCAUUAAUCAUUAUUCACAGUGGAACAGACUGUUUUUGUGUAUAUUUCUCAUUUAUAGUGCCAUAACAGGGUCGGACUGGGCUGGCGGGACACUGGGAAAAAACCCGGUGGGCCCUGGCACUUAUGGGCCCUGCCGGCCCAAACCCACUCCCCCAAACAGCUGGACCCCAAAAAAACGGUGUAUGGUGUCACGCAUCGGUUAAGAAAACUUGUGCUCUCUGUGCUAGCAUUGUGGACCCCCUCUGGUGUCAAAAAGGUAUCUUAAGCCCCUGCUUCCAUCCAAAGCUGAAUCCAAUAAAGCAAACGAGGUGGGGAAAGAAUACCAAAAAGCGCUUAUAGCUGCAAGGUGCCUUUAUUCACCGUCACACAACAUGUUUCGAGCUAGGUAGCUCUUUUUCAAGUGUAUAAAUCACAACAGUGGAAACAAUCAAGAAAUAACCAUCAACUCCUCCCCCCUCUGUUCCUAAUGGUCCUGAGGUAAUUGCAAGGAGGAUUUUCAUGCCUAACCUCCACAAUGAACAGAGUUAACCCUUUGUGAGAAAUCCAACAUGUUCAAAGUCCCAUGUGAAAGUCCAAUGUGUAAACGUUCAUUAAAGUCAUUUAGAUCCUUGUGUGUUGUUGCUGAAAAUGGAAUAAAUGAGAGAAAACACUCUUAACCUCUGCACUGCUCAUUUAAGCCUGCAAGAGUUACCAUAGCCAAACACAGUAAUAAAAACUGUUACAUUCUGUUGCAAAUAUACUGUCUUACUGUUUCAAAUAAAGUUACUAUGCUGCCAACCCUUAAA
Xenopus laevis (African clawed frog) is the source of this 3157-nucleotide long non-coding RNA. RefSeq lists it as uncharacterized. The record is from RefSeq and is a predicted model, not a curated record. Lineage: Eukaryota; Metazoa; Chordata; Amphibia; Anura; Pipidae. The transcript has 3 exons.